GUGAGGGGGUGACUAGUGACAGAGUGAGGGAGUGGGUGACACAGUGACAGAGUUAGGGAGGGAGUGACUAGUGACAGAGAGGGAUGGGGUGACUAGUGACAGUCACCCCUCCCUCUGUCACCAGUCAUCCCCUCACUCUGUCACUAGUCACCUCUUCCCUCCCUAACUCUGUCACUAGUCACCCCCUCUCCCUCCCUCUGUCACUAGUCACCCCCUCUCCCUCCCUCUGUCACUAGUCACCCACUCCCUCAC
Non-coding RNA from Pelobates cultripes (western spadefoot toad), 252 nucleotides. Lineage: Eukaryota; Metazoa; Chordata; Amphibia; Anura; Pelobatidae. The record is from the annotation of a GenBank genome assembly.